Long non-coding RNA from Numida meleagris (helmeted guineafowl), 592 nucleotides. RefSeq lists it as uncharacterized. Lineage: Eukaryota; Metazoa; Chordata; Aves; Galliformes; Numididae. The record is from RefSeq and is a predicted model, not a curated record. The transcript is spliced from 2 exons.
UGACGUGCCAGGUGGCUCAGGCUGCUGCAGCAACAGAAGAACAGCAGAGCUGGCUUUGAGCCUGGCCUGGGGUUUCUUUCUACACAGAUGCAACCACUGUCCUUAUUUGCCACUUCCCAUGCAGGACUGUGUCAUCCAUUAAGAAGGCAUACGGAAGAGGAAAAGAAUCCCUGGAGUGGGAAAAGGAGGGACUGCAGGGAGCAUGCCCGUGGCUGCGUGCAUAAGGGACGUAUUUCCCAUUUGCCCCCAUGUGUGCUGAGCUGGUUGCCCAAAGACCUUGGAGGAGCACAGAGGCGCUUUCUGUUACAACUUCCUGCUCUUUGUUUAAGAAAAUACAUUAACGGGAGGAAGAGAGUUCUCACUACAAUCCUGAUUACUAUUUCCUUCCAUUCCAUCAAAAUGACUUCUUCCCAGCCCAGCCACCCCACCAGCCGCUCUCCUCAGCCCGGGGAGCUUUUGAACUCCCUUCAUCUUUUCUGCAGUUAACUUUUUGCAGAUUUCAGCAAGACUCCUGGGCUGUGUGUAUAAAAGUAUAAUUUAAGCAGUGACAAAUAGAAAGCACAUGCUUAUUAAAGAUACAUUAUACAACUCA